UUACAAAGCCACACCACUCUGGGUGCACCUGAUCUCACCUGUUUUCUAAGAGCUAUGCAGGGCUGGGCCUGGUUAGUACUUGGAUGUGAUACUACCUGAGAAAAAGUGCUGUGUUGUAGC
RNAcentral lists this ribosomal RNA (120 nucleotides) under Monopterus albus (swamp eel). The record is from RNAcentral. Lineage: Eukaryota; Metazoa; Chordata; Actinopteri; Synbranchiformes; Synbranchidae.